This 72-nucleotide transfer RNA is filed under the name Pangasianodon hypophthalmus (striped catfish). RNAcentral's name for it is "tRNA-Glu". Lineage: Eukaryota; Metazoa; Chordata; Actinopteri; Siluriformes; Pangasiidae. The record is from RNAcentral.
UCUCUGUAGGACUAGUGGUUAGGCCACAUUGAUCUCACCACUGUGGCCCGGGUUCAAUUCCCAGCCAAGGAA